This 143-nucleotide small RNA is filed under the name Chrysemys picta bellii (western painted turtle). Its description in RNAcentral is "TUC338 (ENSCPBG00000006426.1)". Lineage: Eukaryota; Metazoa; Chordata; Testudines; Emydidae. The record is from RNAcentral.
AUGAAUAACGAAGGUCUCUGUUUAUCCGAAGAAGAGGUAUAGCGUGGGCAGCAACAGUGCAAACUUUCCCCUCAUUGCCCCACCCUGCUCGGGAAUAACCAGCUACCCGGAUUAGAAGGGCAUUCAGUCUAUGCCAGGCAUAA